AUGGGGCCCGGGGGGGGGGGGGGACAGGAGAGAGGGGUCACGUCCUGGUCUGACCGGGGAAGGCUCCUCAGGCAGGUGCAGACAAAGGCCCAGGAGACGGCUUCGUGGGCAGAGAGGAAAGACCGCCAGGCCGAAGGGGCAGCCUGCACGGGGCCCUGGCAGCUGGGACCAUUCACUUCCCGGGAGCACAGGCGACCCUUGGCAGGUGCCACCUAUCACUUCCCGGGGGCACGUGUGGCCCGGGUUGGCGGGACCAGUGGGCAGGACCCACCACUUCCUGGCACAGGCGGCCCAGGGCAGCCCCAGCUCGGUGAAGUCGCCGGCGUGGAUCAGCACGUCGCCAUACGGCAUCUGGAUGGGGUCCGUCCUCGAGUGGGUGUCGGAAACACAGACGAAGCGGGUGUAGCCUGGCGGCUUGGGAGCAUCGUGAGGCACCGGGUCCACCCUGCGGGGAGAGAAGUCCCUGUGGGCCACGGGGUCACAGCGCACCCUGGGGUGCAAGCAGAGCUUAGGACGCCCGGCCCCAUCAACCCAGAUCACAUCCAACCCAACAGGGGCCGCCUGGGUCUGAACCCAGGAAUCUGAACCUGGAAUCUGAGGUCCCGGCUCUGCCGCUCACCGCCGGGCCUGGGUCUGAACCCAGACUGCACACUCGCCAGGCAAAACACAGCCUGUUCCCACAGCCAAAGUCCCCCCCCCCACCCCCAACAUGGGAACCUUAGAGAGCUGCGAAGGUCAAGGGGAUGAUGAGCAAAAGGGCUGGCGCAGCGAGCACCACUGCGUGGACGUGCGGUGGCACCGUCACCCCAGCCUCUCGACAACGCGACGCCGCCCGACCCCUUUUGCCGAGAGCCCAAGAAUGAGUCGUCUCCUACCCCGACCACCCCGCGGGGGAAGCACGGACUCAAGUCCACCGUCAGUCACCAGGACCAGCCCGGCACUGCGGGGCAGGUGGCACUCAGAACCACGUAAUGCUCUGGGCGUCUGCGGCCGGGGCCCGCGGGGGUGGUGCAAGGGAACAGCUGGAAUCUGAGGUCCCGGCUCUGCCACUCACCGCCGGGCCUGGGUUUGCCCAUCUGGAAAACGCAGCCGCUUCCCCAAGCAAGGGGACCCGGAAAAUUCUGAGGGGGCACAGGCAGGUCGCAGCCCUCCUGUCCCACGGCCCGGCUCCCGCUGCCCCCAGCCACGCGCCCCGCAGGGCUCCACACCCGGAAGCAGCAGGCGAUGACAUUUCCACGAGCGGCCCCUCCGGCUGAGCACGCACUGGAGGAGUUUUUGUGUUCAAAUCUAAUUAUGCGGCAAACCGAGAGCCGGGCGUAUCAGUUACAUAAAUACUUUUAAAGACAUCUUUCUAAUUAUCCUUUUUUUUUUUCAGACAAUAUACUCCAAAGAAAUUUAAUUAACACCUUAUGAGAGCCACGGGUUCGGCAUGCUAAUGCGCAGACGUAUGAGGGCACUGUGCCCGCCCACCUCGCCCCCGAGCUGCGGCGGGAGGGGCGCCCGGCCCAGCCCUGGCCCUGGGUGGCGGAGCCAGGGCGCACCCAGCAGGUGACAGCUGGCCGGGCUGAGGGACGGUCCCCCAGGAAGGCGCAGCGCCGUCCACGUCUCCGCCCCACACGGCUGACUCCUGCUCACCACCUGCCCUGAGCUGAACCAGGCCUGACGGCCGUGCGCCAGGGCCAUGGACUGUGGCCGGCCGUGCCCACCCUGGGGGCUUUGGGAAGCCUCUGGAGGAGGCAGCGUCUGACUGAGGUGGGGGCUGGACUCUCCCUCCCCGCGAGUCCCCAGCUCCUGUCCUCUGGGCCCCCCUCCUCCACCAGUCUGCAGGCAGCUAACUGUGGCUCCACCCACAGCCCCGCCCACCCCAUACAGCAGACUGGGCCAAGGGCAGCCAAUCAAGACAGGCAGCAGGUAAAGCCAUCACCUCGGUGCCAGCAUCCCACAUGGGCACCGGUUCAAGUCCCGGCUGCUCCACUUCCCAUCCAGCUCUCUGCUGUGGCCUGGGAAAGCAGUGGAAGAUGGCCCAAGUCCCUGGACCCCUGCACCCACGUGGGAGACCCAGAGGAAGUUCCCGGCUUGGGACUGGCCCAGCUCUAGCCACUGUGGCCAUUUGGGGAAUGAACCAACAGAUGGAAGAUAUCUCUCUCUCUCUCCUCUCUCUGCCUUUCAGAUAAAUAAAUCUUAAAAAAUUAAAAAUUAAAAAAAGGCA
Molecule: long non-coding RNA, 2209 nt
Filed under: Oryctolagus cuniculus (rabbit)
Lineage: Eukaryota; Metazoa; Chordata; Mammalia; Lagomorpha; Leporidae
Description: lncRNA (ENSOCUG00000039100.1)
Source: RNAcentral